This is an RNA transcript of Nymphaea colorata (pocket water lily), 1750 nucleotides long. It is a transcript of the gene named wee1-like protein kinase, with no coding region annotated. The transcript is spliced from 12 exons. NCBI's taxonomy places the organism in Eukaryota, Viridiplantae, Streptophyta, Magnoliopsida, Nymphaeales, Nymphaeaceae. The record is from RefSeq and is a predicted model, not a curated record.
GGGCAAAAUUUGGGAAACGGACCUUCUUUAGAGCGCGGGAGAUUUGAAAUGAAGUAAUAAAAAGGACGACGGCGACCAUUUUGUCCCUUCACAGAGAGAGAGAGAGAGAGAGACCGAGACCGAGGGAGAUCCUUUUCGCCCAAGAGACACGGGGAAAAUGAUUUCAUCGUCCGGCAACCUGCGGGAGAAGCUCGGCCAGGUGUUUUUGCUGCCCGACGGUGAGGAGACCGCGUUUCCUGCCGAAGAAGAUGACAAGGAUUUCAUCCUCAGCCAGGAUUUCUUCUGCACGCCAGAUUAUAUCACCCCAGACGAACGACAAAUCUGCCAUAUCUCAGGCUUUGAUAAGGAAAAUCUUCCUUGCCCAAAAUCUCCUGUAAAAUCAUGUGCAGACAGAAACAAGAGAUACAGAACUGGUAUGUUUGCUUGCAGUCCUCCAAAUUUUGGGAACUGGACAAACAACUUUGAUUCCAAGAAGCAAUGCCCUCCAAGGGCAGCAGAACUUCCUGCAGAAACUUCAACCGCACAGGACUGGAAGUCAAUCAAGUCGUCAAUACCUGGAACAGAGAAGAAGCAAAGCUAUGUUUCCCGAUCAGCAGUGGCUCUGCGGUGCCGUGUCACUCCUCCUAUUUGCGUCAAGAACCCGUAUUUAAGUGGGAAUACGGUGAUGAAUCUGGAUAUUGUUUGCAAGCAGAAAUCUAAACCUGAAGCUUUGUUCCCCUCGGGUGUUGGUGGUGAUGGCCUUUCACGGUAUCAUACUGAUUUCCAUGAACUCGAGGAGAUUGGCUGUGGUAAUUUUAGCCGGGUAUUCAAGGUAUUGAAGAGAACUGAUGGUUGUAUGUAUGCAGUGAAACACACCAUUAAGCAGCUACAUCAAGAGACUGAAAGAAGGCGUGCAUUGAUGGAGGUUCAAGCUCUGGCAGCUGUAGGGUUUCAACGCAACAUAGUUGGUUAUUAUACUUCAUGGUUUGAGAACGAGCAACUCUAUAUCCAGAUGGAGCUUUGUGACCACAGCCUAUCAUUAAGUAGAUCAGGUCCUUUGCUGCCAUCAGAGGGCGAAGUUCUGGAAGCAAUGCAUCAGGUUGCUGAAGCUUUGCACUUAUUACAUGAACGUGGAAUUGUACACUUGGAUGUAAAACCUGAUAACAUAUAUGUCAAAGACGGUGUCUAUAAGCUAGGGGAUUUUGGAUGUGCAACACUGAAAGAUGGAAGCAUUCAAAUUGAGGAAGGUGAUGCACGUUACAUGCCAUUAGAGAUACUAAAUGAUAAACAUGAGCAUUUGGACAGGGUUGAUAUCUUUUCACUGGGGGCCUCAAUAUACGAGCUUGUUAAAGGGUCUCCAUUACCAGCAUCUGGUUCACAUUUUUUAGCGCUGAGGGAGGGCAAGCUAUCUUUGCUUCCUGGUUACUCCUUGCAAUUUCAAAAUUUGCUUAAGAUUAUGAUGGACCCUGAUCCCAGAAAGAGACCUUCUGCUAAAGAGCUGCUCAAGAAUCCAAUUUUUAAAGAAGUGCCAUCAGUGAGCAGCUCAUUGGAUGCUUGUAUUGAACAGAAGUCACAUUGAAUCCCACUUCAUUGAGUGGGAAAGCUAAAGUUGUUUUAUAAACAAGAAUUCACUGAAAUAGUAGUGUCAGAUGCAAAAGCAAUUGAGGAAACAUUUGGAAUCCACUUUUAUUUAGGAAGAGAGGAGCAAAGCAGAUAAAAGGACGAUGGACGAAGUAAAGAACACCUGUGAAGACUAGUUUUGGGUUUUAGG